This 224-nucleotide non-coding RNA is filed under the name Oceanobacillus oncorhynchi. RNAcentral describes it as "T-box sequence". It matches the Rfam family "T-box leader". From Rfam's summary of the family: Uncharged tRNA acts as the effector for transcription antitermination of genes in the T-box leader family. T-boxes are found upstream of many aminoacyl-tRNA synthetase genes and some amino acid biosynthetic genes usually in Gram-positive bacteria. Lineage: Bacteria; Bacillati; Bacillota; Bacilli; Caryophanales; Bacillaceae. The record is from RNAcentral.
CGAAAGACGAUGAAAAAGGAUUAGUAAUAGGUUUUAUCAGUUUUAGAGAAGCAGUGGGUGGUGAAAACUGCUACUGAUAGACGUAUGAACUCACCUUUUUAGUUUGCAGUAAUGAAAUCAGAGUAGUUACUGUCGUUUCAUCAACGUUACCGAUGUCAAGCGAGCGCUUCUUAGCGUUAAUUUGGGUGGUACCGCGGGAAUAAACACAGCUUCUCGUCCCUUCA